RNAcentral lists this ribosomal RNA (429 nucleotides) under bacterium. RNAcentral's name for it is "partial 16S ribosomal RNA". It matches the Rfam family "Bacterial small subunit ribosomal RNA", at positions 355 to 776 of the family's 1533-position model. The record is from RNAcentral.
UGGGGAAUUUUGGACAAUGGGCGAAAGCCUGAUCCAGCAAUGCCGCGUGUGUGAAGAAGGCCUUCGGGUUGUAAAGCACUUUUGUCCGGAAAGAAAUGGCUCUGGUUAAUACCUGGGGUCGAUGACGGUACCGGAAGAAUAAGGACCGGCUAACUACGUGCCAGCAGCCGCGGUAAUACGUAGGGUCCAAGCGUUAAUCGGAAUUACUGGGCGUAAAGCGUGCGCAGGCGGUUGUGCAAGACCGAUGUGAAAUCCCCGAGCUUAACUUGGGCAUUGCAUUGGUGACUGCACGGCUUGAGUGUGUCAGAGGGGGGUAGAAUUCCACGUGUAGCAGUGAAAUGCGUAGAGAUGUGGAGGAAUACCGAUGGCGAAGGCAGCCCCCUGGGAUAACACUGACGCUCAUGCACGAAAGCGUGGGGAGCAAACAGG